Molecule: non-coding RNA, 2678 nt
Organism: Arachis ipaensis
Lineage: Eukaryota; Viridiplantae; Streptophyta; Magnoliopsida; Fabales; Fabaceae
Source: RefSeq, a predicted model, not a curated record
GGAAGGAAUAUUCUAUUAUUCAUGAUGAUUCAUGACUAAUUUUACGAAACAACAACUUUUUCAAAAUCUUCAUGACUAAUCCACAGCUAAUAUAUUGCUGGUCUCUAAUCCAAUCACUAUAACAGGAACGAAGCACAGCGGCAAAAAAUUGGGGGUCUUUCACCUUGUCGCCGCAAAAUAAGACUGCAGAAAAAGGAUUCCUUCGUGUGCCGCAACAUCAGCGGUGAUUGCAACAAGAAACGCUAUUAGAGUCCUUGGCAGCGCACGAAACACUGCUGUUGCUGCUCUACCGCACCAUUGUUGCCGAUCCAUCGUCCUCUGGCCGCCGUCGAGCCUUUGCCUCAUCAUAGUUCCUGAAACCCAUACUCCCUCUUCCAAGGUGUGCGAAAUCCCUAGCAUCUGCUCCACCCUGCGCCUCUGUUUGGGUUGUCAAGUCACGCAGCUGCCAUCCGUGCUUCUCCCACUGGCGUCGAAGUUUCCUAAUUCCUCGAUCGUGCGUGACACCGUUACAUCCUCCUCCACCGUGCGCCAAUAUGAGUUAUCACGGCCUCUCCCCUGUCACUGAGAAAUUAGAGAGCCGAGACUUCUUUUUGGUUUGCAGUAGCUGCUGGUUCGUAGAGAAGACGAUAGAUGCAUCUCCAUUCUCUUUGUUGGACCACGCAACAUCCUUUGCAAGGCAGUUGUGGUUCAAAGAGUCCUGUAUACAAUCAUGGCUGGAUGCCUUCUUUGGACACAGACACCUCACUCGAGCCAUUGGUCAUGCACUUGCUUCAAUGAUGAAGUUGAUUAUGUUAAAAUUUUAGGAAUUGCUUCAAUGGGACCAAAGGUACAUCGCUAAAUUUGGAUUUGAGUUUACAAUAAAUACGGACACGUGGUUCUCACAGAAAAUACUUGAUAAGGUGAAGCAGGAUUAGAAGAGAAGGUAGUUUGGUGUCCCUGACCGACCUCAGGCCUCCUGAUCAAGUGCACAUUCCCCUUGGUUUACUAUUGAAGUCCAAUCCUUGUAAGGUAAGACGAUCGAAGGAUUCAAUCCAGCCACAGGUUCCCCUACGGCUACCUUGUUACGACUUCACCCCAGUCGAAGACCCCACCGUGCACGCUAUGAAAAUACUCUUGUCGUUGAACUGGAUAUUGCAGCACGGGAGGAAUUCAAACUCAUAGAACAUGGACUUGAUCGACUAUGGGAACGUGCCGUUUAUCUUUUAAGAUGGCUAGGAAAGGUCGUUACAUGAAAAAACCAAAAUUAGGACCAGGAUGUCAGCAACCCCAAACGGCUCCGCCUCCGGCUUCGGUUUCCCACCACGAUGACUCUCAAAUUCCCCCAGACAGUGGUGACAGUGUCCCUGCAACUUCACGCCCAUUACUUCUGCCGCUCAGUGAACCAAGGCUUGCUCCACAAUCGAGCACAAAUAGCAUUCAAAACUCGGAGCCAGGCUACGUAAACUUGGCAGCUAGUGCAAAUGAUGUAGAUUCCCUUGAUCAAGAAGUUGAUGACCCCUCUGUUGCUUCUGGAGCUUAGAGUCACAAAAGCCGCAAGACUAUAGAGUGUUUGACAAUACACAUAUAAGGUAUAAUAUUUGGCUUAUAGAUUUUGAGGGCAAAAUCAAGCCGGAAAGAUUAAGCGUGAGGGAGGCUAUGGAACGGCCUAACGGCAGAAGGAUCAUGCGCAAGUUCAACAACAAAAAGCAACCAAUUGGAGACAAAGCUGGACUUUUGAGUAGCGUGCUUGGUCUGCUAGGAUCUGACUAUGAAAAUUUUUCUAUCUGUAAGGAAAGUUGGCAUAAGAUUACCACUAAAGACAAGGUUUAUAACAAACGUGUCAAGCAAAUUUUUCACUUUGAUGAAGAUAGUAAAGGAACUAUCAAGAAAAAUAUUUUGAAAAGUAUGGGGAAGUCUUGGAAGAAAACAAGUCUGAGGUUGUAUAAUGCGUUUUACGAGCCAACAUUCACGACUGAACAAAAUAUUGAGCACCGUCCGCCGGGAAUCGAUCAAGAGCAUUGGAGAUGGUUCCUUGACUAUCGCGCUAAAAUGAGACAAAGGAGAAGUGCAGGAAAAACGCGAUUAAUCGAUCAAAACAACUAUAUACCCACACUGGCGGUUCGAAAAGCUUCGCACGGCGGAUGGAAGAAGAGUCGAAACAAUAAGUGAGGAGAGUCGGUAGAGGAGAGUUAUGGAUUACAGUGCACAAAAAAAAGGAUGGCUCCUAUAUCAAUGAUGAAGCAAGAGCAAUUAGUGUUUUUGGAAAAGAGAAACCAGGUAGAGUACGUGGUGUGGGUUUCGGACUGACUCCUAGUCAACUAUUCGGUCUGAAUUCACAUGUUCCGGGAAACGGAGUCCAAGUACAGGAGACACAGAGGAAGCUGCUUGAACUGCAGGCAGAGCUGGAAGGCAAGAAGUUGAAGAGGAAGGCGAUGGAGGAUGAGGCAGUAGUAGAGAAGAAAAAGAGGCAGAGAUGGAGAAUGCUCAGAUUUAUCUAUUUCAAUAGUAAGGUGAGGAGCUGCCACCAGAUAUCACUGCAGGGAUGAGUUCCGUGAAAUGAUAGAGUGAAAAUUAGUAUAUUAGGAUUGGAGAUAUUUUGGAUUAAAGCAAACAUUUUUUUGAAUUAGACUAUGCAACUCUUUGCAAGAGAUUUGUUUUCUUCGUAUUUUCAUGAAUAUAUUAUUUUGUUUUGCAGAUAA